GAUGAACGCUGGCGGCGUGCCUAAUACAUGCAAGUCGAGCGAACGGACGAGAAGCUUGCUUCUCUGAUGUUAGCGGCGGACGGGUGAGUAACACGUGGAUACCCUCCCUAUAAGACUGGUAUAACUUCGGGAAACCGGAGCUAAUACCGGAUAAUAUUUUGAACCGCAUGGUUCAAAAGUGAAAGACGGUCUUGCUGUCACUUAUAUAUGGAUCCGCGCUGCAUUAGCUAGUUGGUAAGGUAACGGCUUACCAAGGCAACGAUGCAUAGCCGACCUGAGAGGGUGAUCGGCCACACUGGAACUGAGCCACGGUCCAGACUCCUACGGGAGGCAGCAGUAGGGAAUCUUACGCAAUGGGCGAAAGCCUGACGGAGCAACGCCGCGUGAGUGAUGAAGGUCUUCGGAUCGUAAAACUCUGUUAUUAGGGAAGAACAUAUGUGUAAGUAACUGUGCACAUCUUGACGGUACCUAAUAAGAAAGCCACGGCUAACUACGUG
RNAcentral lists this ribosomal RNA (497 nucleotides) under uncultured bacterium. Its description in RNAcentral is "partial 16S ribosomal RNA". It matches the Rfam family "Bacterial small subunit ribosomal RNA", at positions 28 to 507 of the family's 1533-position model. The record is from RNAcentral.